UUUGAAAUUCCUAGUGGCGAAGGGAGAGUAACACGUGAGUUACCUGCCCCAAAGUCGAGGACAGCCCGGGGAAACCCGGAUUAAUACCGGAUGUGAUCGUAAGAUUAAAGGCGGGGUAACCAGCCGCUUUGGGAUGGGCUCGCGGCCUAUCAGCUUGUUGGUGAGGUAAAAGCUCACCAAGGCAACGACGGGUAGCUGGUCUGAGAGGACGACCAGUCACACUGGAACUGAGACACGGUCCAGACACCUACGGGUGGCAGCAGUCGAGAAUCAUUCACAAUGGGCGAAAGCCUGAUGGUGCGACGCCGCGUGGAGGACGAAGGCCCUAGGGUCGUAAACUCCUGUCAUCAGGGAGUAAGGACUUCACCAGUAACUGGGUGAGGUAUUGAUAGUACCUGAAGAGGAAGGGACGGCUAACUUCGUGCCAGCAGCCGCGGUAAUACGAAGGUCCCAAGCGUUGUUCGGAUUUACUGGGCGUAAAGAGUCUGUAGGCGGUAAAGUAAGUCAGAUGUGAAAUCCCGGAGCUCAACUCCGGAACUGCAUCCGAUACUGCUUUACUAGAGUAUUGGAGGGGAAUCUGGAAUUCUCGGUGUAGCAGUGAAAUGCGUAGAUAUCGAGAGGAACACUAGUGGCCGAAGGCGAGAUUCUGGACAAUUACUGGCGCUGAGAGACGAAGGCCAGGGUAGCGAAAAGGAUUAGAUACCCUUGUAGUCCUGGCAGUAAACGUUGCACGCUUGGUGUGGGAGGAUUCGACCCCCUUCCGUGCC
Molecule: ribosomal RNA, 767 nt
Filed under: uncultured bacterium
Lineage: Bacteria
Description: bacterial SSU rRNA
Rfam family: Bacterial small subunit ribosomal RNA
Source: RNAcentral